UGGUCCGUAGCUCAGCUGGAUAGAGCGUUGCCCUCCGAAGGCAAAGGUCGUACGUUCGAAUCGUAUCGGGUCCGCCA
This 77-nucleotide transfer RNA is filed under the name Belnapia rosea. Its description in RNAcentral is "tRNA_Arg_CCG". It matches the Rfam family "tRNA". From Rfam's summary of the family: Transfer RNA (tRNA) molecules are approximately 80 nucleotides in length. Their secondary structure includes four short double-helical elements and three loops (D, anti-codon, and T loops). Lineage: Bacteria; Pseudomonadati; Pseudomonadota; Alphaproteobacteria; Acetobacterales; Roseomonadaceae. The record is from RNAcentral.